UAUUGGGCAUCGUCCGCCGUAAAGGCGGGCGUGCCUCGAAGACCUCGGCGGGGUUUCUCCAACUUCGGGCGUAGUAGAGUUAAAUCAAAACGUCUUAUAAGCUUGGUGAGAUCUCAUUGCCGUUAAACCUUUUAUAUUUUUCAGGUUGACCUCGGAUCAGGUAGGGAUACCCGCUGAACUUAAGCAUAUCAAUAAGCGGAGGAAAAGAAACCAACAGGGAUUGCCCUAGUAACGGCGAGUGAAGCGGCAAUAGCUCAAAUUUGAAAGCUGGCCUUCUGGUCCGCAUUGUAAUUUGUAGAGGAUGCUUUUAGGCAGCCGCCGGUCUAAGUUCCUUGGAACAGGACGUCAUAGAGGGUGAGAAUCCCGUAUGUGACCGGCUCUGGCACCUUAUGUAAAGCUCCUUCGACGAGUCGAGUUGUUUGGGAAUGCAGCUCUAAAUGGGAGGUAAAUUUCUUCUAAAGCUAAAUACUGGCGAGAGACCGAUAGCGCACAAGUAGAGUGAUCGAAAGAUGAAAAGCACUUUGGAAAGAGAGUUAAAAAGCACGUGAAAUUGUUGAAAGGGAAGCGCUUGCAAUCAGACUUGGACUUGGCUGUUCAACCGGUCUUCUGACCGGCCUACUCAGUCUUGUCCAGGCCAGCAUCAGUUUCGGCGGCCGGAUAAAGGCCCUGGGAAUGUAGCUGUUCCUUCGGGGACAGUGUUAUAGCCCAGGGUGUAAUACGGCCAGCUGGGACU
RNAcentral lists this ribosomal RNA (733 nucleotides) under Dothiora europaea. RNAcentral's name for it is "eukaryotic LSU rRNA". The stretch from base 147 to 733 matches the Rfam family "Eukaryotic large subunit ribosomal RNA", at positions 1 to 594 of the family's 3401-position model. Lineage: Eukaryota; Fungi; Ascomycota; Dothideomycetes; Dothideales; Dothioraceae. The record is from RNAcentral.